AUGACGGACGGCCACCUAUUCAACAACAUCUCCCUCGGCGGCCGCGUCGGCAACAACCCUGGUCAGUUUAGGCUUUAUUCGGGAGGGCUUGCAUGGAAGAAGCAAGGUGGAGGAAAGACAAUUGAGGUUGAUAAAGCUGAUAUAAUUUCUGUGACGUGGAUGAAAAUCCCCAGAUCUUAUCAGCUUAGUGUUGGGACCAAAGAGGGCAUUCGGUACGUGUUCAAAGGCUUCCGUGAACAGGAUGUUAGUAACCUUACUAACUUCAUACAAAAGAACACGGGAACCACACCAGAGGAGAAGCAGCUCUCUGUUAGUGGCCAUAAUUGGGGCGCGGUUGACAUCAAUGGCAAUAUGCUUAGCUUUAAUGUUGGCUCAAAGGAAGCAUUUGAAGUCUCUCUAUCAGAUGUAUCACAAACUCAGUUGCAAGGAAAAACAGAUGUUGUUCUUGAGUUCCAUGUUGAUGAUACUACAGGGGCUAAUGAGAAAGAUUCGCUGAUGGAUUUAAGUUUUCAUGUACCAACUUCAAAUACUCAAUUCCUUGGUGAUGAGGAACGUCCCUCGGCUCAUAUUUUUUGGCAGAAAAUCUUGGCUAUAGCUGACGUUGGCUCAUCAGAAGAGGCUGUUGUCUCAUUGGAGGGAAUUGCCAUUCUUACCCCAAGAGGUCGAUACACUGUUGAGCUUCAUAUGUCAUUCUUGCGACUCCAAGGACAAGCUAAUGAUUUCAAAAUCCAGUAUAGCAGUAUUCUUCGGCUCUUUGUUUUGCCAAAGUCAAACAACCCUCAUACAUUUGUGGUCAUCACACUUGAUCCGCCAAUUCGCAAAGGACAAACAUUAUAUCCCCACAUUGUUAUUCAGUUUGUGACAGAGAAUGUAGUUGAGAAGGAGCUGUCAUUAAGUGAGGAGGUUUUGGCUGAAAAGUACAAGGACAGGCUGCAGAGUUCUUACAAUGGUCUAGAACAUGAGGUAUUCUCCAAAAUUCUUCGUGGCCUGUCUGGUGCUAAAGUGACGAGGCCAAGCACAUUCCGCAGUUGUCAAGAUGGAUAUGCCGUGAAAUCAUCACUUAAAGCUGAAGAUGGAUUGCUGUAUCCUCUUGAAAAAGGCUUUUUCUUUUUGCCAAAGCCCCCGACACUCAUUCUGCAUGAGGAGAUCGAGUAUGUUGAAUUUGAGCGCCAUGGUGCUGGUGGUGCUAGUAUGUCAUCUCACUAUUUUGAUCUCCUGGUCAAGCUAAAGAAUGACCAAGAACAUCUCUUCAGAAAUAUACAAAGGAAUGAAUACCAUAACCUCUUCAACUUCGUCAGUGGUAAGAAUUUGAAAAUCCUGAAUCUUGGAGAAGAUGGCCAAGAUAGAACUGGUGCAGUUGCGGCUGCUCUUCAGAGCACUGAUGAUGACCCUGUUGAUCCACAUCUGGAGCGAAUUAAAAAUCAGGCCGGUGAUGAAGAAAGUGAUGAAGAGGACGAAGAUUUUGUGGCGGACAAGGACGACAGCGGAUCCCCUAGUGAUGAUUCUGAAGAGGGUUCUGAUGCCAGCAUAAGCGAUGGAGAAAAGGAGAAAUCUUCCAAAAAGGAAGCUAGUAGCUCAAAGCCACCUGCGAAGAGGAAACCAAAGAAUGUGGACGUGGAAGGUUCAGAGAAGAGAAAGCCGAAGAAGAAGCAGAAGAAAGAUCCCAAUGCCCCUAAAAGAGCAAUAGCACCAUUCAUGUAUUUCUCAAAGGCUGAGCGAGCUAAUUUGAAGAACAUCAACCCUGAACUCAGCACCACGGAUAUUGCAAAGAAGCUUGGAGAGAAGUGGCAAAAGAUGUCAGCUGAGGAGAAGCAGCCAUACGUUGAGCAGUCCCAAGUGGAUAAGAAACGCUAUGCAGAGGAGUCUGCUGCCUACCGCGGCGCUGGUGCGGCUCCUGUAGACGUGGACUCUGCAGAUGGAUCGUCCGAUUGA
RNAcentral lists this ribosomal RNA (1932 nucleotides) under Triticum aestivum (bread wheat). Its description in RNAcentral is "partial small subunit ribosomal RNA". Lineage: Eukaryota; Viridiplantae; Streptophyta; Magnoliopsida; Poales; Poaceae. The record is from RNAcentral.